Rhipicephalus microplus (southern cattle tick) is the source of this 567-nucleotide long non-coding RNA. The record is from RefSeq and is a predicted model, not a curated record. Lineage: Eukaryota; Metazoa; Arthropoda; Arachnida; Ixodida; Ixodidae.
AGAAAAGUUUCUGCGAGUGCGGCUCUGGUGAUGUCGUCUACCAGUCGCCCGACCUCAUCACGAGCAAGUGCGGAAUGUCGGGUCAAGUCGACAUCGCAGCAGUGGCAACUGUUCUUCGUAGUAAAUCAAGUGGUGACAGCGGGUUGGAUGGGUGCUACCACGAGACCAGGGUUAUUAGCGGAUCCUUGUCUCCAACAGUACCUGGGAAGCCGUAAAUCACCGUAAGAGAUCGAAAGCCAGCAAGCCGGGAGCGAUGGACACCGGCAGCGUUAAUCCAUGUUGGCUGGAGGAUGGAAAAAGGAUUAUCGUGUUCCAGUAAAGGAUGGCGCUGAAGGAUACCGGAUCCGCCGCUGAUUGCUCAAGUACUCCUGAAAUCACGAGAGUCUUCGUCAUCCGGAAAAACCUCCUUCUGAAGUUGUCUGCCACGCAUCUACUGAACUGCUGAGACAGAAAUUCCCGUUCAACCACAAUAAUAACAUGACGCGGCGGGAGCUGUUUUGGACCUUUCUUCCUUCACGACCAAAAGUAAUAAAACCAUGCUGGCCACCAGUAUGGCUUCGGUUUCAA